Molecule: ribosomal RNA, 466 nt
Filed under: uncultured bacterium
Lineage: Bacteria
Description: partial 16S ribosomal RNA
Rfam family: Bacterial small subunit ribosomal RNA
Source: RNAcentral
GACGAACGCUGGCGGCGUGCUUAACACAUGCAAGUCGAACGGAAAGGCCCUGCUUGCAGGGUACUCGAGUGGCGAACGGGUGAGUAACACGUGGGUGAUCUGCCCUGCACUUCGGGAUAAGCCUGGGAAACUGGGUCUAAUACCGGAUAGGAGCCAUUUUUAGUGUGAUGGUUGGAAAGUUUUUUUCGGUGUAGGAUGAGCUCGCGGCCUAUCAGCUUGUUGGUGGGGUAAUGGCCUACCAAGGCGGCGACGGGUAGCCGGCCUGAGAGGGUGGACGGCCACAUUGGGACUGAGAUACGGCCCAGACGCCUACGGGAGGCAGCAGGGGGGAAUAUUGCACAAUGGGCGCAAGCCUGAUGCAGCGACGCCGCGUGGGGGAUGACGGCCUUCGGGUUGUAAACUCCUUUCGCUAGGGACGAAGCUUUUUGUGACGGUACCUAGAUAAGAAGCACCGGCUAACUACGUG